CCAUCACUCUAACAACUUCACUAAGACUGACAGUUUUAACUAUUUACUGCCCAUACGCAACCAUUUGAGAUACGCCGUGCGCAAGAAAAAGAUUACUUUAACCAUUUAGAACAUCUGUGGAGGGUGACGCCUAAGAAGAAAAAGUCGGAAAACUGCAGCCGUCUCGUUCAGCAACAUCAAGCCCAUAUAAUUGCUCCAGCUAAAGAAAAAAACUUGUUAUGUAGAGGAGCAGUUAAAUAAGAAGAAAACGAAGGCAGGCAAUGAAACAGUCGAUCCUCCCUGUAAUGAUUGCAUCAUAUGCUGGCCAGGGACAGGCUGCUGGAGGAGGGGAAGCUGUGCAAGCAGGGGGCCAGACACUGAGGAAAGGAAAGGAAAAAGCCCAUUUUAUCUAUGCUAAUAUAGCACUUUGAUUCUGUUCUUCUGAAGACAUCCAGAAAGAAGACAUCAGUAAUCAAUAAGGAGAUGGAUUUGAUGACGAUACCUCAUGAGGCCUGUUGGCCGCUAACAUUGAUAUGGGAGAGAAUUAACCAUGCAUGUUCUUCAGACUCUCCACCAAGGUCCUGGGGGUACCGAAAUGGGGACUGUGGAUUCCAAGUAUGGAUUUUUAAUUCCUACAAUGAGAGAUAUUACGUGGUCUGGGACCAUAUCCGCUCAUACUGGAAAGUGAAAACUCCAUUUGGGCCUAUUUUAAAUUUUAUUGGACCUCUCUUUAUAGACAGAUCAGGUAGAGGAUUACAUGUACCGCCAUCACUUACCGUCACUGAAUCAGAUGCACAUGUUUUGUUGCCUGUCACAUCUUCAGCGGUGCAUAAACCAAUGUUAAAAAUUGCCCGUUUUGUUUCUAAACCUACAUAAUAUAGGGAUUAUAGGUCAUAUAAAAAUGACUGAAAAUGUGUAUAGUCAAAUAAGUCAAAUACUACUUUGUUGUUAAAGAGGACCUUUCAUGGGUUUAUGUAUUACAAACAAGUAUGCGUACCAGAUAUUGUGGCCCCUAUAGAUGCAA
Bufo bufo (common toad) is the source of this 1003-nucleotide long non-coding RNA. RefSeq lists it as uncharacterized. The transcript is spliced from 4 exons. NCBI's taxonomy places the organism in Eukaryota, Metazoa, Chordata, Amphibia, Anura, Bufonidae. The record is from RefSeq and is a predicted model, not a curated record.